This 505-nucleotide ribosomal RNA is filed under the name uncultured Arcobacter sp. Its description in RNAcentral is "bacterial SSU rRNA". It matches the Rfam family "Bacterial small subunit ribosomal RNA", at positions 9 to 525 of the family's 1533-position model. The record is from RNAcentral. Lineage: Bacteria; Pseudomonadati; Campylobacterota; Epsilonproteobacteria; Campylobacterales; Arcobacteraceae.
GAGUUUGAUCAUGGCUCAGAGUGAACGCUGGCGGCGUGCUUAACACAUGCAAGUCGAACGAGAACGGAUUAUAGCUUGCUAUAAUUGUCAGCUAAGUGGCGCACGGGUAAAAAAAAUAUAGGUAAUGUGCCCUAGAGAAGAGGAUAACAGUUGGAAACGACUGCUAAGACUCUAUAUGCCUUUAAGACAGAAGUCUGCAAGGGAAAUAUUUAUAGCUCUAGGAUCAGCCUGUACAGUAUCAGCUAGUUGGUGAGGUAAUGGCUCACCAAGGCAAUGACACUUAACUGGUUUGAGAGGAUGAUCAGUCACACUGGAACUGAGACACGGUCCAGACUCCUACGGGAGGCAGCAGUGGGGAAUAUUGCACAAUGGACGAAAGUCUGAUGCAGCAACGCCGCGUGGAGGAUGACACAUUUCGGUGCGUAAACUCCUUUUAUAUGGGAAGAUAAUGACGGUGCCAUAUGAAUAAGCACCGGCUAACUCCGUGCCAGCAGCCGCGGUAAAA